RNAcentral lists this long non-coding RNA (410 nucleotides) under Nicotiana benthamiana. RNAcentral describes it as "long non-coding RNA (NBEN_LNC027234)". Lineage: Eukaryota; Viridiplantae; Streptophyta; Magnoliopsida; Solanales; Solanaceae. The record is from RNAcentral.
CUAAAUCUCUUCUUCUCUUAAAUUCUCUAUAAACCCGAGCCGCCUAUCUUCGUCUUCAACCACAUCCACCGUCGUCCAUGGCUUCUCAGGCCAUGGAUAGCCCAUACUCACCCCCCUUUCACCCCAACCCAUGAUUAUUCGAGGCUUUCAAGGUUCAACCUUCAACACACCUGUUCAGGUACCCCGCUGACAUGAGCUCCUUUGGCUUCUCCAGCACCGUUCCAUUGUGUAUUCGAGCUUUGAAAGGCUUAGCCAUGGCCCAGAUUUGGUCCAAGACCAGACCAUUCCAGGCCUUCUCGUCUCUAUGGUUUUUGAGAAACCCAAAAAAGCUUGAUUUGAGAUUUUUCUUUCCUUAUUUUCUUAGAUCUGUAGCGGAUCUAUGCUCUAUUCGGUGUUUUAACGAUAUUCCC